UACAGAGGUCCCGAGCGUUGUUCGGAUUCACUGGGCGUAAAGGGUGCGUACGUGGCCUGAGAAGUUUGAUGUGAAAGCUCAGGGCUUAACCCUGAAAUGGCAUUGAAUACUGUUGGGCUGGAGGUUUGGAGGGGGGACUGGAAUUCUUGGUGUAGCAGUGAAAUGCGUAGAUAUCAAGAGGAACACCAGUGGCGAAGGCGAGUCCCUGGACAACACCUGACACUGAGGCACGAAAGCUAGGGGAGCAAACAGG
Molecule: ribosomal RNA, 253 nt
Filed under: uncultured bacterium
Lineage: Bacteria
Description: partial 16S ribosomal RNA
Rfam family: Bacterial small subunit ribosomal RNA
Source: RNAcentral